This 497-nucleotide ribosomal RNA is filed under the name uncultured bacterium. RNAcentral describes it as "partial 16S ribosomal RNA". It matches the Rfam family "Bacterial small subunit ribosomal RNA", at positions 28 to 507 of the family's 1533-position model. The record is from RNAcentral.
GACGAACGCUGGCGGCGUGCCUAAUACAUGCAAGUUGAGCGAUGAAGCUUGGUGCUUGCCCCAAUUUGAAGAGCAGCGAACGGGUGAGUAACGCGUGGGGAAUCUGCCUUUGAGCGGGGGACAACAUUUGGAAACGAAUGCUAAUACCGCAUAACAACUUUAAACAUAAGUUUUAAGUUUGAAAGAUGCAAUUGCAUCACUCAAAGAUGAUCCCGCGUUGUAUUAGCUAGUUGGUGAGGUAAAGGCUCACCAAGGCGAUGAUACAUAGCCGACCUGAGAGGGUGAUCGGCCACAUUGGGACUGAGACACGGCCCAAACUCCUACGGGAGGCAGCAGUAGGGAAUCUUCGGCAAUGGACGAAAGUCUGACCGAGCAACGCCGCGUGAGUGAAGAAGGUUGUCGGAUCGGAAAACUCUGUUGGUAGAGAAGAACGUUGGUGAGAGUGGAAAGCUCAUCAAGUGACGGUAACUACCCAGAAAGGGACGGCUAACUACGUG